GACUGAAAUAAAAACGCCGUGUGUAUUCCAGCUCUGGCACAAGCAGGCGACCGUGCUGCAGCGCUGACCUGAUAGUUCUGAACAGAGACAGAGCAUCCAGUUACCGGCCUUUGAACUUUGAACGUGUCUGCCAGGCUGGUUCCCAGGAGUCUGACAGCAGACGCUCAGCGAUCAGCCUCUGUCCUCCUCUGCGUGCCAGAACAGCUGGGUGGUCUGGAGAAGAUCUAAAGGCUUCAGCCUGGCUUCUGAGCAGCUGUGGGCAGGGGAGAGGGACAGGAGGGUUAUCCAGGAUGGUCUUCUGGAAAGCUGAGGACUACAAAUGUAUUUUUUCUUAA
This 335-nucleotide long non-coding RNA is filed under the name Struthio camelus australis. RNAcentral describes it as "lncRNA (ENSSCUG00000003465.1)". The record is from RNAcentral. Lineage: Eukaryota; Metazoa; Chordata; Aves; Struthioniformes; Struthionidae.